Molecule: long non-coding RNA, 398 nt
Organism: Tachysurus vachellii
Lineage: Eukaryota; Metazoa; Chordata; Actinopteri; Siluriformes; Bagridae
Exons: 3
Source: RefSeq, a predicted model, not a curated record
AAAAAUAAGUUGACAUUAUUUACAGAUAUGUUGAAAAAAAUGGUAAAAAGUAGGAAGGUGGAGAAAUCCAAAGUCACAGACUAACUGCUUUGCAUAAAUGAUCACUGCUGAAACAAUGGAGUUAACACAAGCACUAGAGCAGAAGUGUUCAGACCUUUUAACAGCUAAAAAAGGAGUUUUAAAAUCUCAGAUUUAUUUAGCUCUCACCGCAAAGCAUGGAUUCAGUAUCAGACGAAACUCAAGGUUUUGGUCUCAGUAUUGGGCACUCAGCACUCACCUCUCCGGUGUUCCCAACAGGUACCGCUUCAUUCGCCAUCAUCUCUCCGGAGCUUUUCUUCUGAUGCUCGUUACAUGGUUCCGCUAAGGGUUUCAUCUGGUCCAAGUUCAAAACACACGCC